Meleagris gallopavo (turkey) is the source of this 2233-nucleotide non-coding RNA. Lineage: Eukaryota; Metazoa; Chordata; Aves; Galliformes; Phasianidae. The record is from RefSeq and is a predicted model, not a curated record.
UGAGAAACACCCGAGCCUGGCUGCUGCAUGGCAGAAAGGUCGGCUCCACUCCCUGACCUGUCCUGUGACCCUGAGCAGCGGUGCUGGGGCACACGUGGGGGUUGUGGUACCUAGGCAUAGUCCUGGACUCCUUCCUUAUAAAUGUUACAGCAAUGGGAGGAGGCAGGAAAGGUUGUGAUGGUGAUUUUGUGCAAGCAACAGAACUUCCCGGAGUUUCAUGCAGCUCAUGCAAAGACAGGCUGCUCUUGCAAACCAUGUGCUUUAUGGAGCAGAAAAAACCCACAGUUUGGCCAGCGCUCAAGCACCUUUCUCUGUUGUCCUUGUGAUGUGUCAGAUGCUGUUAAGAUUUUCCUUUGUAAGUAUCCGAAGGGUCUGGUCCAGGUCUGGCUCUCUGCAGCGCGAGCACCGGGCAGUGGGCGCUCAGCAUGGACCUGCAGGAGGGAGGAGAUGCUGCUGCGGCACAGGGAUGCUGCAGGGCGUGGGGCAGCUGCUGUGAGCCAUGAAGCUGUGCCUGAAGAGGUUUUCAUGUGCUGAAGUGUUUCUUUAUAUAAAUAGCAGUGAAGAAUGAGCUUUGACUUCUUGCUCCUCCCCCCAGCCAUCAGCAGCGUUUGAAAUAUCCAGAUUACAUGUGGAAUAAAUGGAGGAGAACGUAUUACAUCAAAGGUUGGAGUUCUGAGUUUCUACUCUCUCUUACAGACGUUAGCUUGAAGCUAUGACUACACGUUAGGAGAGCAAUUGCAGGUGAAUUUCUAUUUCCCUUCCCAUGGGAAUGCCAGACUGCUCUUGAGGAAAGCUGCUCCACCACUCCAAAAAAUGUUGAUUUAAAUACUGAAGUGCAAGAAAUUGUAUUGUGAACCUUUUUUGAAACAACAACAACAACAACCAAACAAAAACAAAACAAAACAAAAGAACUGAAUUAACAUUUACUGUUAACCCCCUGACUGUACGGCAUCCAAUCUUUCUCCCACCAGGUCUCGUGACUCAGAGCUCCCUGGAGGGGAUUGUGUGGAUUUCUCAUUCUAAACUCCAGUCACCCUGAAUACCAGGGCAGCUGUCCCCCACAACACCAUCUCCUGACAUCUAACCACACCAGCUGCCUCGCUGCUGAGAUGACGGCGGAGAGAAAUUGAAGAAGUUUAUAGAAAGUGAGUGGUGUCUUCCGGACCAGCUCUGCGCUCACUGCAGUCACUCCUAUGAUGAAGCAGCUCCCAAACAAAAAUCUUUAUCCCCUCAUUUUUCUAAGGAAUGAUGAUUCUUUUUGCAACUUGUGCUCCUGUUCUGAUACAGAUCUUCUCUACCUAGACACAGAAUGGAGUGGAGCAAAGCCAUGAGCUAUCGAAGGCUUUCUGCACUGAUUUUGCUAAGUGCCUCCUCCUCAGGAAGGAAAAGGAUGCCUGCCUGCCCUUCCUUGUAAUACAGGGCUCAGUUUCUCUAAGGAGGCACCAGCUAUGGGAGGUUAAUGCUCCCGUGUCACCCUGUCACCGCUGUCCCUUUCUACUUUCUCUUCUUUUGGCAGCUCAGGGGUGUGGAGUGGGGAGCAGGCAGAAGGUGAAUUUCCAAAGCCUUAAGGAAAUCAGCUUGCUUUUGGGUAUCAAGGACAAACAGGGCUCUGCAGCAACCUCACGUUUAAUUAGCAGAGAGACGUUCCCAAGAGGAAGGAGAGCAACACGGGGUGCUGGGGAAGGCCAUAUGCCCUGGGAACCUGAUCCUUGCUUGAGGAAGCUCUCAGUGCACAGAUGUGUAACUCCUGUUCCCCUUGGUUUUGUGAGAUAUGAGAAAGCUCGUAGUGACCUGACCAAAAUGAAAUAAUGGGGAUUUUGUUUACACCUUACUGGGUUGGGAUUAGAUGGGAAGCUCUUCACAGCUCUGCCCUCCUCAAGAUAUGUCUGCUCCGUCCUCCUGGCACUGCCAGCCACUGGCCAUGCAGGAUUUCUCCUCCCCAGUGCCAGUCCACUGUGCCUUUCCUCUGGGGUCAGCCAGGAGCCGUGCCAGCCCCACACACUGUUCUACUGCUGCAGACCCCCAGGCUCUGCAGGCUGCCACAUGGCCCUCCUGCAUCCUCUCACCCCACCACCACCCUCCUUGUGUUUUUUUUUAUUUUUGCCAGCUUCCCCCUUGCUACAGGAUAUGAGCCUUUCUCUCAGGGAAAUAAAAAUUUGGAUUAAAAUUUGCCUUUAUUGCUCCCUUUCCAAAAUUAGGCUGAAAGGAAGAAUUUUCAGGGGAGUGCAGGAGA